UCCAGCUUAUCGCUGGCGGUCUCCUGCGAGUUCCCAACUGAAUGAUGGCAACACAGGACAAGGGUUGCGCUCGUUGCGGGACUUAACCCAACAUCUCACGACACGAGCUGACGACAGCCAUGCAGCACCUCGACUCCCGUCCCUUGCGGGAAAUCCCUGUUUCCAAGGACGUUCGUGAGCCGUUCGAGCCCAGGUAAGGUUCUUCGCGUUGCGUCGAAUUGAACCACAUGCUCCACCGCUUGUGCGGGCCCCCGUCAAUUCCUUUGAGUUUCAGCCUUGCGGCCGUACUCCCCAGGCGGGGCGCUUAAUGCGUUAGCUGCGGCACGGAACCCAUGGAAUAGGCCCCACACCAAAUAUGCAUCGUUUACGGUGUGGACUAC
Molecule: unclassified non-coding RNA, 380 nt
Filed under: uncultured Bryobacterales bacterium
Lineage: Bacteria; Pseudomonadati; Acidobacteriota; Terriglobia; Bryobacterales
Description: contains 16S-23S intergenic spacer region
Source: RNAcentral